NNNNNNNNCUGGCAGGGGAGAACCAUGAUCAUGAAGGUGGUUUGCCCAGGGCGAGGCUUAUCCAUUGUACUCCGGACACGCUGACCCCUGUGAUCUCCCCAAAUGUGGGAAAUUCAACUACAUAAUUUGUGGUAGUUGGAGACUGCAUUCACGCUCUCCCCUG
This 163-nucleotide small nuclear RNA is filed under the name Echinops telfairi (small Madagascar hedgehog). RNAcentral's name for it is "U1 spliceosomal RNA (ENSETEG00000021737.1)". It matches the Rfam family "U1 spliceosomal RNA". From Rfam's summary of the family: U1 is a small nuclear RNA (snRNA) component of the spliceosome (involved in pre-mRNA splicing). Its 5' end forms complementary base pairs with the 5' splice junction, thus defining the 5' donor site of an intron. Lineage: Eukaryota; Metazoa; Chordata; Mammalia; Afrosoricida; Tenrecidae. The record is from RNAcentral.